RNAcentral lists this unclassified non-coding RNA (400 nucleotides) under soil metagenome. RNAcentral's name for it is "partial contains 5.8S ribosomal RNA, internal transcribed spacer 2, and large subunit ribosomal RNA". The stretch from base 1 to 120 matches the Rfam family "5.8S ribosomal RNA", at positions 35 to 154 of the family's 154-position model. The record is from RNAcentral.
GAUGAAGAACGCAGCGAAAUGCGAUACUUGGUGUGAAUUGCAGAAUCCCGUGAACCAUCGAGUCUUUGAACGCAAGUUGCGCCCGAAGCCUCGGCUAAGGGCACGUCUGCCUGGGCGUCACGCAUCGCGUCUCCCCCAAACCGCCAAGGCGGAGGGGAAGGAAGAUGGCUUCCCGUGCCUCACCCGGGCGCGGUUGGCCUAAAUUUGGAGCCCGCGGCACUUAGCUCUCGCGGCGAUAGGUGGUGAACAAGGCCUUGGCCGUGCAAACAACCCGCUGCGAAGCUCUAUGUCACGUGCGCUCGUCGGACCCUUUGAAGUUGCCUUUGGUGACUUAAAACCUUUGCGACCCCAGGUCAGGCGGGGCUACCCGCUGAAUUUAAGCAUAUUAAUAAGCGGAGGA